RNAcentral lists this ribosomal RNA (254 nucleotides) under uncultured bacterium. Its description in RNAcentral is "partial 16S ribosomal RNA". It matches the Rfam family "Bacterial small subunit ribosomal RNA", at positions 524 to 776 of the family's 1533-position model. The record is from RNAcentral.
UACGUAGGGGGCGAGCGUUGUCCGGAUUUAUUGGGCGUAAAGAGCUCGUAGGCGGUUUGGCAAGUCGGGUGUGAAAACUCCGGGCUCAACUCGGAGACGCCACUCGAUACUGCCAUGACUUGAGUCCGGUAGGGGAGUGCGGAAUUCCUGGUGUAGCGGUGAAAUGCGCAGAUAUCAGGAGGAACACCGGUGGCGAAGGCGGCACUCUGGGCCGGUACUGACGCUGAGGAGCGAAAGCGUGGGGAGCGAACAGG